Molecule: ribosomal RNA, 118 nt
Filed under: Pteropus alecto (black flying fox)
Lineage: Eukaryota; Metazoa; Chordata; Mammalia; Chiroptera; Pteropodidae
Also listed under: 1 other name
Source: RNAcentral
GUCUACAGCUAUGCUACCCUGAACAAGCCUGAUCCCUUCUGAUCUCGGAAGCUAAGCAGGGUCAGGCCUGGUUAGUACUUGGAUGGGAGACCACCUAUGAGACCAGGUGCUGUAGGCG